Molecule: ribosomal RNA, 305 nt
Filed under: uncultured bacterium
Lineage: Bacteria
Description: bacterial SSU rRNA
Rfam family: Bacterial small subunit ribosomal RNA
Source: RNAcentral
CGUAGCCUACGGGGCGCAGCAGUGAGGAAUAUUGGUCAAUGGGCGGGAGCCUGAACCAGCCAAGUCGCGUGAGGGAAGACGGUCCUAUGGAUUGUAAACCUCUUUAGGCGGGGAGCAAUGCCGGGCACGCGUGCCCGGAGGGAGAGUACCCGCAGAAUAAGCAUCGGCUAACUCCGUGCCAGCAGCCGCGGUAAUACGGAGGAUGCGAGCGUUAUCCGGAUUUAUUGGGUUUAAAGGGUGCGUAGGCGGGAUGCCAAGUCAGCGGUAAAAAUGCGGUGCUCAACGCCGUCGGGCCGUUGAAACUG